AACGGAUGGAGCAGUCUGGUAGCUCGUCGGGCUCAUAACCCGAAGGUCGUAGGUUCAAAUCCUGCUCCCG
RNAcentral lists this transfer RNA (70 nucleotides) under Pediococcus pentosaceus. Its description in RNAcentral is "tRNA-Met". It matches the Rfam family "tRNA", at positions 5 to 66 of the family's 71-position model. From Rfam's summary of the family: Transfer RNA (tRNA) molecules are approximately 80 nucleotides in length. Their secondary structure includes four short double-helical elements and three loops (D, anti-codon, and T loops). Further hydrogen bonds mediate the characteristic L-shaped molecular structure. tRNAs have two regions of fundamental functional importance: the anti-codon, which is responsible for specific mRNA codon recognition, and the 3' end, to which the tRNAs corresponding amino acid is attached (by aminoacyl-tRNA synthetases). tRNAs cope with the degeneracy of the genetic code in two manners: having more than one tRNA (with a specific anti-codon) for a particular amino acid; and 'wobble' base-pairing, i.e. permitting non-standard base-pairing at the 3rd anti-codon position. The record is from RNAcentral. Lineage: Bacteria; Bacillati; Bacillota; Bacilli; Lactobacillales; Lactobacillaceae.